UACGGGGGGUGCGAGCGUUAAUCGGAAUAACUGGGCGUAAAGGGCACGCAGGCGGUCUGUUAAGUCAGAUGUGAACUCCCCGGGCUUAACCUGGGAACGGCAUUUGAGACUGGCAGGCUUGAGUCUCGUAGAGGGGGGUAGAAUUCCAGGUGUAGCGGUGAAAUGCGUAGAGAUCUGGAGGAAUACCGGUGGCGAAGGCGGCCCCCUGGACGAAGACUGACGCUCAGGUGCGAAAGCGUGGGGAGCAAACAGG
RNAcentral lists this ribosomal RNA (253 nucleotides) under uncultured bacterium. Its description in RNAcentral is "partial 16S ribosomal RNA". It matches the Rfam family "Bacterial small subunit ribosomal RNA", at positions 524 to 776 of the family's 1533-position model. The record is from RNAcentral.